GAAAUUCUAACAAUAUCAAUAGAGACUAUCUUGGACUGCUCAGUUGGCACAGUCAGAAUUUGGAACUUUGAACAAGGAAUUUACAUUCUGAGCAAGGCAAUAUGAAUAAACUACAAACAAGUCCAACCUGGAAUUUUUUCUCCGAUCAACCAAUGUAUGUGCAAAAGAAGCUAAUAAAACAUUAAACCAUUCAAAACUGCUUUUGUUUAUUUCUAUCAAAUUCAUUAUGUGCUCUCAUGUUGAAAUUUGUGGAUGUGCCGUUUUGUUGCCCAGAAAUGUAGCAAGCAAAAAUGUAGUCUAUCUUUUUGGUUUUAGUUU
Camellia sinensis is the source of this 318-nucleotide non-coding RNA. The record is from RefSeq and is a predicted model, not a curated record. NCBI's taxonomy places the organism in Eukaryota, Viridiplantae, Streptophyta, Magnoliopsida, Ericales, Theaceae.